RNAcentral lists this ribosomal RNA (328 nucleotides) under uncultured eukaryote. Its description in RNAcentral is "partial 18S ribosomal RNA". It matches the Rfam family "Eukaryotic small subunit ribosomal RNA", at positions 1470 to 1796 of the family's 1831-position model. The record is from RNAcentral.
CCCUUAGAUGUCCGGGGCUGCACGCGCGCUACACUGAAGGAAUCAGCAUGCUAAAACCAUUGUCGAAAGGCAUUGGUAAACCCAUUAAAAUCCUACGUGAUUGGGAUCGGGAAUUGCAAUUAUUUCCCUUGAACGAGGAAUUCCCAGUAAGUGUGGGUCAUAAGCUCGCGUUGAUUACGUCCCUGCCCUUUGUACACACCGCCCGUCGCUGCCCGGGACUGAGCCGUUUCGAGAAAAGCGGGGACUGCUGCUGUCGGGGCUUUCGGGCCUUGGCUUCGGUGGAAACCGCUUUAAUCGCAGUGGCUUGAACCGGGCAAAAGUCGUAACA